Long non-coding RNA from Helianthus annuus (common sunflower), 552 nucleotides. RefSeq lists it as uncharacterized. The record is from RefSeq and is a predicted model, not a curated record. NCBI's taxonomy places the organism in Eukaryota, Viridiplantae, Streptophyta, Magnoliopsida, Asterales, Asteraceae. The transcript has 2 exons.
CAGCUGCUCCGGGCCGUUUCAACACAUGGUUCGAGCCGUUUCAGCUGGCUCCAAGCCGUUUGAACUGUAUCCGAGCCGGUACAGCUGUCUAAUGACGGUUCAAUGUGUUGUUCGAGUCGGGUCAACGUGUUUGUCGAGCCGUUUGACCGUAUGACCAUAUGCCGCAUUUACUUACCCAGUGAGUGCGGAUGGAACUAUCGAGCAAAAGACGCAUCUUUAUCAUUGCUACAAGCGUUUUGACUCAAAAUCCAGAAGAAGAGAUUUGAUUCACUCCAAACUUUAAAUUUGUUGUCCAAUUUGCUCUCGGGGAGGUUCUAAGUUCUAAGCAGCUGUUUGGUGAAGUUAUCUGAAGACUGCUUUCUUGGAGACCGAGCUUUUUUCUCUACUACCCGUUUCUGCGGUUAUGAGAAAGGGUCCUGACGAGAAAUUUUGUGGAUGAAACUGAAUCACUUUACUAGCGGUUUGGCGAAGUUUUGUUUGUAAUUUUUACAUGUUAUAUCUUUUAUGUAAUUUGUAUUAAGUAAUAAUAAAAAUUAUGUGUUUUAAAUUUGA